GUCCUACGGGGGGCAGCAGUGGGGAAUAUUGCACAAUGGGGGGAACCCUAAUGCAGCGACGCCGCGUGAGUGAAGAAGUAUUUCGGUAUGUAAAGCUCUAUCAGCAGGGAAGAAAAUGACGGUACCUGACUAAGAAGCCCCGGCUAACUACGUGCCAGCAGCCGCGGUAAUACGUAGGUGGCAAGCGUUAUCCGGAUUUACUGGGUGUAAAGGGCGUGUAGGCGGGACUGCAAGUCAGAUGUGAAAAUUAUGGGCUCAACCCAUAACCUGCAUUUGAAACUGUAGUGCUUGAGUGAUGGAGAGGG
This 305-nucleotide ribosomal RNA is filed under the name uncultured bacterium. RNAcentral's name for it is "bacterial SSU rRNA". It matches the Rfam family "Bacterial small subunit ribosomal RNA", at positions 335 to 658 of the family's 1533-position model. The record is from RNAcentral.